This 608-nucleotide ribosomal RNA is filed under the name Acinetobacter radioresistens WC-A-157. RNAcentral describes it as "bacterial SSU rRNA". It matches the Rfam family "Bacterial small subunit ribosomal RNA", at positions 31 to 633 of the family's 1533-position model. The record is from RNAcentral. Lineage: Bacteria; Pseudomonadati; Pseudomonadota; Gammaproteobacteria; Moraxellales; Moraxellaceae.
GAACGCUGGCGGCAGGCUUAACACAUGCAAGUCGAGCGGAUGAAAGUAGCUUGCUACCGGAUUCAGCGGCGGACGGGUGAGUAAUGCUUAGGAAUCUGCCUAUUAGUGGGGGACAACGUUCCGAAAGGAGCGCUAAUACCGCAUACGUCCUACGGGAGAAAGCAGGGGACCUUCGGGCCUUGCGCUAAUAGAUGAGCCUAAGUCGGAUUAGCUAGUUGGUAGGGUAAAGGCCUACCAAGGCGACGAUCUGUAGCGGGUCUGAGAGGAUGAUCCGCCACACUGGGACUGAGACACGGCCCAGACUCCUACGGGAGGCAGCAGUGGGGAAUAUUGGACAAUGGGGGGAACCCUGAUCCAGCCAUGCCGCGUGUGUGAAGAAGGCCUUUUGGUUGUAAAGCACUUUAAGCGGGGAGGAGGCUACCUAGAUUAAUACUUUAGGAUAGUGGACGUUACUCGCAGAAUAAGCACCGGCUAACUCUGUGCCAGCAGCCGCGGUAAUACAGAGGGUGCGAGCGUUAAUCGGAUUUACUGGGCGUAAAGCGUGCGUAGGCGGCCAAUUAAGUCAAAUGUGAAAUCCCCGAGCUUAACUUGGGAAUUGCAUUCGAUAC